GCGGACUACCAGGGUAUCUAAUCCCUUUCGCUCCCCUAGCUUUCGUCCAUGAGUGUCAGAAUCAGCCCAGUCACGCGCUUUCGCCGCUGGUGUUCUUCCCAAUAUCUACGCGUUUCACCGCUACACUGGGAAUUCCCGUGACCCCUACUGACCUCUAGUCAUACAGUUUCCACCGCCGGUAUGGAGUUAAGCUCCACGCUUUGACGGCAGACUUGUAUAACCACCUGCGGACGCUUUACGCCCAAUAAUUCCGGAUAACGCUUGCAUCCCUCGUAUUACCGCGGCGGCUGACAC
RNAcentral lists this unclassified non-coding RNA (294 nucleotides) under uncultured fungus. RNAcentral describes it as "sequence contains ITS1". The record is from RNAcentral. Lineage: Eukaryota; Fungi.